UCAAAACUUUUCAGCUAGAGUAUGAUAGAGGAAAGCAGAAUUUCUAGUGUAGAGGUGAAAUUCGUAGAUAUUAGAAAGAAUACCAAUUGCGAAGGCAGCUUUCUGGAUCAUUACUGACACUGAGGAACGAAAGCAUGGGUAGCGAAGAGGAUUAGAUACCCUCGUAGUCCAUGCCGUAAACGAUGUGUGUUAGACGUUGGAAAUUUAUUUUCAGUGUCGCAGUGAAAGCGAUAAACACACCGCCUGGGGAGUACGACCGCAAGGUUAAAACUCAAAUGAAUUGACGGGGACCCGCACAAGUAGUGGAGCAUGUGGUUUAAUUCGAAGAUACGCGCAGAACCUUACCAACACUUGACAUGUUCGUCGCGACUUUAAGAGAUUAAAGUUUUCGGUUCGGCCGGACGAAACACAGGUGCUGCAUGGCUGUCGUCAGCUCGUGUCGUGAGAUGUUGGGUUAAGUCCCGCAACGAGCGCAACCCUCACUUUUAGUUGCCAUCAUUUAGUUGGGCACUCUGAAAGAACUGCCAGUGAUAAGCUGGAGGAAGGUGGGGAUGACGUCAAGUCCUCAUGGCCCUUACGUGUUGGGCUACACACGUGCUACAAUGGUAUAUACAACAGGAAGCAAAACGGCGACGUUAAGCAAAUCCUCAAAAGAUACCUCAGUUCGGAUUGCACUCUGCAACUCGAGUGCAUGAAGCUGGAAUUACUAGUAAUCGUGGAUCAGCGUGCCACGGUGAAUGCGUUCCCGGGUCUUGUACACACCGCCCGUCACACCAUGGGAGUUGGUUCUACCUUAAGGCAAGGUUUCAAACCCUUGACCACGGUAUAGUCAGCGACUGGGGUGAAGUCGUAACAAGGUAACCGUA
RNAcentral lists this ribosomal RNA (866 nucleotides) under uncultured bacterium. RNAcentral's name for it is "bacterial SSU rRNA". It matches the Rfam family "Bacterial small subunit ribosomal RNA", at positions 627 to 1504 of the family's 1533-position model. The record is from RNAcentral.